Amphiprion ocellaris (clown anemonefish) is the source of this 116-nucleotide small nuclear RNA. Its record names the gene U5. It matches the Rfam family "U5 spliceosomal RNA". Rfam says of the family: U5 RNA is a component of both types of known spliceosome. The precise function of this molecule is unknown, though it is known that the 5' loop is required for splice site selection and p220 binding, and that both the 3' stem-loop and the Sm site are important for Sm protein binding and cap methylation. Lineage: Eukaryota; Metazoa; Chordata; Actinopteri; Pomacentridae. The record is from Ensembl.
CUGUUUAGGUUUCUCUUCAUAACACAUAAGUCUUUCGCAUUUUACUACAGACUUCCGUGAAGAAUAACUCCAACCCAUUUAGCCUAUUUUUGACAGACUUUGCCAUAUGUAGGGAC